RNAcentral lists this non-coding RNA (24 nucleotides) under Arabidopsis thaliana (thale cress). The record is from RNAcentral. Lineage: Eukaryota; Viridiplantae; Streptophyta; Magnoliopsida; Brassicales; Brassicaceae.
AGUUCUUUUUCGGACAAGGUUGGA